UUUGAUUUAGGAUUUGGAUUAGGGUUUGGUUAGGGUUUUAUUUAAGGUUUGGUUUAGGGUUUAGGAUUUGGAUUAGAGUUUAGGAUUGGAUUAGGGUUUGGAUUAGGGUUUAGAUUAGGAUUUAGGAUUUGGUUAGGAUUUGAUUAGGAUUUGAUUUAAGGUUUGGUUUAGGGUUUAAGGUUGGAUUAGGGUUUGGUUUAAGGUUUGAUUUAGGGUUUGGUUUAGGGUUUAGGGUUUAGGGUUUGGAAUAGGAUUUAAUUUAAGAUUUGUUUAGGAUUUGACUUAGGGUUUAGGAAUUAUUAGGGUUUAAGAUUUAAUUAGGUUUUUUCUAAAUUUGAGUGAAAUUCAAUAGGAUUUUAACUAGAAUUAAAUUAAGGUUGAAUUGACAUAUAUUUGAAUAAAAUUUGUGAUCAUUUUAAUAUUUCUUUAAAAAUUUUAUCAUUUGUUUGAAAUUUCUUUGAGUUGUUUUGAAUUGGAUUACGUUUGUUUACUAUUAUUAUAGUCUAAUUAGAACAUUGUUAGUAUUCUAUUUAGGAUUUUGUUAUCGCAAUUUCUAUUCUUCCUUCUAUAGCUAGGUGUCCGAAGCAUUCUCAAGCAAGACUUCACACAUUAUGACAUUGCCUCACCUUCUUUUGGUUCAAGGUAGGGACAUCUUAAUAAAGCAUCUGAUAAUCCU
RNAcentral lists this long non-coding RNA (676 nucleotides) under Physcomitrium patens. Its description in RNAcentral is "long non-coding RNA (PPAT_LNC004906)". Lineage: Eukaryota; Viridiplantae; Streptophyta; Bryopsida; Funariales; Funariaceae. The record is from RNAcentral.